AAACUGCGAUAAGCAAUGCGAAACGCAGUUGUUCGUGAGUCAUCCGGUAUUCGAACGCACAUGGCAGGUCCUCGGACCUACGUCUGGUUGAGGGUCUUUUUUACUCCAUUUCUAUGGGAUGUGAAAGGGCGCUUGGCUCUUUUUAAAGGUAGGGUAACUUGUACCGCAACCGUUUGGUGGACAAUCGAGCGGGCUAAGGUGGCAAGCGAGUGCUGGUAAGCAGUGCUCAUUUAUCUUUUGACCUCAACUCAGACGAGACUACCCGCUGAACUUAA
RNAcentral lists this unclassified non-coding RNA (275 nucleotides) under uncultured fungus. RNAcentral describes it as "sequence contains ITS1". The stretch from base 1 to 97 matches the Rfam family "5.8S ribosomal RNA", at positions 50 to 154 of the family's 154-position model. Lineage: Eukaryota; Fungi. The record is from RNAcentral.